This 207-nucleotide unclassified non-coding RNA is filed under the name Hevea brasiliensis (rubber tree). Lineage: Eukaryota; Viridiplantae; Streptophyta; Magnoliopsida; Malpighiales; Euphorbiaceae. The record is from RNAcentral.
GUCAAUUCCACCAAAAAAAAGAUUGGUAGCUUCCUUGUUGAAAAUUUCCAUGGACUAAUUAGAUUUGACGACCUAGUAUGCUCUCGAAAUGUGUGAAGGUUAUAAAAGUCUCACAGUGCACUAACUUGAAUCGCUUAGUUUGGGCAAUUUAUUAUUAGGGUAAUUUUACUCAAAGAACAUGGAUCAAUUAGCAGAAACUUAUGCUAG